Molecule: long non-coding RNA, 356 nt
Filed under: Malus domestica (apple)
Lineage: Eukaryota; Viridiplantae; Streptophyta; Magnoliopsida; Rosales; Rosaceae
Description: long non-coding RNA (MDOM_LNC018280)
Source: RNAcentral
GGGGGGGAGAGAUCUAUUCAAAAGACACUACAUUCAUAUCUUACAACCUUCAUCCAAACACUUCCAUUCAUCCUCACAUCCAUUCCUCCUUAAAAACAAACCUUCAAACACUCACCAACACCUUGUGCCAUAGCAAAGGAAGGGAAGGAAAGUGCUUGGAUGUGCUUGCUGUCCAAUUUGGAUCGUUGGAGCGUUUAGGUGUUUUCUUUCUUUUGUUUUCAAUGUCUAAAUUUGUUUAUCUUUGCUUUGUGAGUGUGAGGAACUAAACCCCCCUUAGCUAGGGGGAAUUUGAAACCAUGUUCAUGCUUGCAAUAUGAUUUGAUUACUUUCAGUUGUGAUUCAUAAGUUGUGAAUUC